AUCUAAAUUAUUUUCACAGAAGUAAUGUGCAAGCUUAAUGGAAAAUAUGAUGCAGAUUCAUUGCUCUACUUGCUCAGUCAUUUUGAAUGUGAGGGCCACACAGUACACAUGCUCACUGAAUGGUGUCUACCGCCCCCACUGACUAGUACAGUGAAGUCGUCAUUGUUC
Phyllostomus discolor (pale spear-nosed bat) is the source of this 168-nucleotide long non-coding RNA. RefSeq lists it as uncharacterized. The record is from RefSeq and is a predicted model, not a curated record. The transcript has 3 exons. Lineage: Eukaryota; Metazoa; Chordata; Mammalia; Chiroptera; Phyllostomidae.